GCAAGUAUGGUGGAAUUGGUAUACACGGUAGUCUUAGAAACUACUGCCAGAAAUGGCUUGAAGGUUCGAGUCCUUCUACUUGCA
This 84-nucleotide transfer RNA is filed under the name Ignavibacteria bacterium. Its description in RNAcentral is "tRNA-Leu". It matches the Rfam family "tRNA". From Rfam's summary of the family: Transfer RNA (tRNA) molecules are approximately 80 nucleotides in length. Their secondary structure includes four short double-helical elements and three loops (D, anti-codon, and T loops). Further hydrogen bonds mediate the characteristic L-shaped molecular structure. tRNAs have two regions of fundamental functional importance: the anti-codon, which is responsible for specific mRNA codon recognition, and the 3' end, to which the tRNAs corresponding amino acid is attached (by aminoacyl-tRNA synthetases). tRNAs cope with the degeneracy of the genetic code in two manners: having more than one tRNA (with a specific anti-codon) for a particular amino acid; and 'wobble' base-pairing, i.e. permitting non-standard base-pairing at the 3rd anti-codon position. Lineage: Bacteria; Pseudomonadati; Ignavibacteriota; Ignavibacteria. RNAcentral also lists the same sequence under 1 other name. The record is from RNAcentral.